This is a long non-coding RNA of Xenia sp. Carnegie-2017, 358 nucleotides long. RefSeq lists it as uncharacterized. Lineage: Eukaryota; Metazoa; Cnidaria; Anthozoa; Malacalcyonacea; Xeniidae. The transcript has 4 exons. The record is from RefSeq and is a predicted model, not a curated record.
GUGUAUAUUGAGUUAGCCUUCUAGUUGUUGUAGAGUUCGUUGAUAAAAUCUCGACCAGUGCAUAGAUAACUUCGCUCAGGAUAAAAAGUAUAGAAAUAAUCUCGAUUAUUGUUUGGCUUGCCAUAUUGCCAUACUUAAGAAAGUUAAAGAAGAGUUGUUCAGCCGACAAAAUUCAGACAAUUAGCGAAUCACUAGUAAUUUCACCGGCUGCACCAAGGACAUUACCUCAACUGGGCUUGAAAUUCAUUCCAUAUAGUUGGGAAGAUCUAUGAAGUAUAAAAAUAAAAGUGAUCAUGGCCGAGGCGCAAGAUACAGACUUGGACAGUUUUGAGUCAGUGUAUUUUUAAAGAGAUUCCUU